Molecule: long non-coding RNA, 1397 nt
Filed under: Nicotiana tabacum (common tobacco)
Lineage: Eukaryota; Viridiplantae; Streptophyta; Magnoliopsida; Solanales; Solanaceae
Description: long non-coding RNA (NTAB_LNC001541)
Source: RNAcentral
UUUUAUUCCUGUGGCAAAACUCUAGCUCUUGAAUCCAAUAUCAAUGAUCUCAAUUAGCUAGCAUAUAAGUAAGUGGCAAGAAUGAAGAAAUUGGAAGAUAUCAAUCGUUCUUCUUCUUCAACGAACAAGUAUUCAAGAAUGACUUGCAACAACAAAAACUGGAGCAUCGGUAAAUAUCAAAAAGUAUUAUAGCCAUAUGGCUCUUCUUAAUUUUCAUUCGUGUUCCACAUGAAUAUGACAUACUAUAACACUAGUCUUUUCAUUUGCUUUCAGCUUUAGAUCGAGCUAAACCUUAUUAGAUCGAGAAAUUGCAAAUUCCAGUUCCUGGUUUGAGCUUGAGCUCGACAUUUUUGUCAAGGUAUAAUUUCCUCACCUUUCACGAAUACAAAUACAAGUUAACUCUGAAAAAUUAGGAAGGCUUGUAGAGAACAAAUUAUUAGUUCUAAAAUUCAUAAUACCGUACAGCACAAACGAUAAUUGCAAUUAAGAGAUUAGAGAACAAAUUGGUUCAUAAAAAAUAUCUCAGAUCAAACAUGCAGUAAAUCUCACUGACAUCCGAUUUAAACGUCUAGAGGAAAUUGAAAUGUCACAUUGCCAAACGAUCAUUCACUAUUAUCCAAAUUUUGGAGUGCGCACACAUUAGGAUUAAUUAUAUAUUCCUCAUUUAAGUCAAAAUUGGACUAAUAUAGGUUAAUCAUAUAUUCUCUUUGGCUUCUUUGAUAGCUUUACUGAUAGUUUCCCCUUCUUAACUCCCAAGUAUCUGUCAAUCUCCUCGUCAGCAGCAUCUCCGCCUCUGUGUUUCCUUUUGCCACCACUUUCUUUGAUUUUCUGAAUCAAAAUAGAUUGGAUGUUAAUUAUCUAAUAACUCCAUUGAGCAAUGUAUUACCAAGAAAACAUGCAUCAGCAAAAAUCCUACAUAAACUACUAACAACCUAUAUAAUAAUGUAUCAGCAUGCAAACAUCAGGAAAUAUGAGCAACUUAAACAUUUCAUAGAGUAAGUUGUAUACAAGGCACCUCUCACAACAUUCCACAUCCUCUCCAACUGAGAAAUGCACAUAACAGUCACAUGUUCUGAAUAACAGCUCUACAUCCAAACCACACUAAAAAGGUCAAAAAUAUGCUCACACUAUCUCUACCUUAUUACCUCAAUGACAUCAACACCUGAGCCUAAUGAAAAUGUUGAAAGAGGAGAAUUCAACUAUAAUAUUAAGUGCUAAAAGGGAAACUAAUAAUAAAAAUAAGGGCCCAUUUCACUUGAUUUAAUUGGCUAAAUUUAAACCGUCUUUAACCCGUGCAGGCAAAAGUUGACCACCUAGUGAUUACAGCCAACUGAAGUACACCCUCCUCUCACAAGGGGGAAAAAAAAAGGAGACGAGAAUUACCAUCUGUGAGAUCC